This 3453-nucleotide long non-coding RNA is filed under the name Homo sapiens (human). RNAcentral describes it as "WDFY3 antisense RNA 2, transcript variant 10 (WDFY3-AS2)". Lineage: Eukaryota; Metazoa; Chordata; Mammalia; Primates; Hominidae. The record is from RNAcentral.
CUACUGAGCCGGCCGCAGAAAUUGCAGCCGCUCAGCUUCUACCCCCUCCUGCCUUUCCUUCCUCUUUCCUUACUUCCUUCCCUUCCCUCGGCUUCCCGCUCUUGCCUCACUCUCAGCGGCUGCCUUCGCCCCUGUCUGCAGACAGCGCCGCUGGAUGCUCCCAGCUGGACUUCAACCCCACUCCUCUCAGUCCCUCUCCCCACUGCCUUCCAGACGCGCCUCUUCCCCGCCCCGCGCCCCUCUCUCCUCUCCCACCCCUGCCCCUCUCCGCGGCGCUCACCCUCCUCAGUCCCAGUUUCUGAAAGGACUCAGCUGAGAAAGGACAACUGGGUUCCGCUUUCCUUAACCCUACACCCUUUAGCUGGAUGCUGUCAGAGGCGAUGGAGAAACGCAAAGGCUACUAGACGCAACAAUAGAAUUACCAUAUUGUUUUUCCUGGUUUGAAAGGACCAGAUGGAAAGAAACUGGGCAAGCCAAUGAAAGUCUCUGGGGAUCAUGGGAAUUGAGUGUCUAUGAAAACCAUAUUCCAGACAAGAAUAUAGUCUAAGGUUUAUGGGACUCCCCAGUACUCUCCAUGUAGAGUCUAAUGUAGAAUCCAGGAGUGCACAGAAAAGUCACUGGAUGACACAGCAAGAGGCAACAUUUUGGAAGCAGAGGGCAACUCUCACUGGAAACCAAAUCUCCUGGCACCUUGAUCUUGGAUUUUACAGCCUCCAGAACUCUGGGAGGCAUUACAUAGUCAUGUGCGAGGUCAAAACUGAGUCACCACCACAACCAAGUUCCAGCUGGCAAGAAGAGGAAAAAUAACACAGAGGAGUUAUGACCAGUGUUGUAAGGAUCUGGCCUAGAAAUGGCAUGCAUCUCUUCCACUAAUAUCCUAUUGGUAAAAAUGUAGUCACAUGGGCACACCACCUAUCUGCAUGGAAGGCUGGGAAAUGUUGAUCGGUAGGGCAGCCAUAUGUGUAGGAAGGAGAAAACAGAAUUUGGUGGAUACCUAGUAGUCUCUGCCAUACCCUUGACCAGAAAUUUUUCUUCUAAAGAAUUUAAUUCUAAAAGUUAUAGACAUUCCCAAAGAUAUACCUGCAAGCAUCACAGCUUUGUGUAUAAUUGCAAAAGUUGAAAUCAACAUGAAUGCCCAAAAUAGUGAAUUAUUUAAACAGAUUAUUACCCAUAUUAUGAAGAAAUACUCUGCAACUCUUAAAAAUAAAUGUAAUGUGCCAGGCGCAAUGGGAUAUGCCUGCAGGCCCAGCUACACGGGAGGCCAAGGCAGGAGGAUCACUUGAAAUCAAGAGUUCAAGUCUAGCCUAGACAACAUAGUGAGACUUGGUCUCUAAAAAAGAAAAAAAAAAAUAAAACUGAUGUAAUGAAUAUAUAAUUACAACAAAAGAGGUCUAACACUAUAGUAGAAAAGUUUGGGGCACUCAUCCCAUUCAUAAUUAUUUUACAUUUAAAUUACUGUUCCUACUUAAGUGGUGAGCUUGGUAACCAUUUUCAUAUCAGGUGAUACUGCUGCAGUAAUCAUAGCUGUUUGAAUCAGGAAUAAUCCCAAUCACAUUUUCUCUUAAUCGUUUAUUAUACUGGGCAUUGGGGUUGCAAGAUAAUGCACAGUCCGAGCUCAAUACAUGUCUUCAUGUACCUGUAUGUAAAUCCCACUUUUAUUCUAAAAUUCUUUGAAUAUUUUGUUUCUUGGAACCCAAUGAUCCUAAGAAAAUUAUGUACUUUUACCUGAAAAUUAAAACCAAUAUUUAUAAAAAGUGUAUAUGCAGUAUGAUACCACUUUUAAAAAAAGAUAAAUUUAUAGAAAAAAGUUUAUAUGACUGACAACAAUGUCUCUGAGUGGUAGGAUUACAGUUAAUUUUUAUUUUCUUCAUUCUACUUAUCUUUAUUUUCUGAACUUUCUACAAUGAACAUGUUUUAUUUUUACUUUUGUUAAAAUAAAUAACAUUUAAUUUGACGGAAAAUUCUAAAAAUCAACAUUUGGUAACUUAAAUAUUCAUUGGCACAUGAUUCUGUGCCUGUUUCUGGGGGUCAUUCCCAUGAGAAGAGCAGGUAGAACUUAUGAGAAUAGAGCAGUCGAAAUAUUAUAGGUUUCAUAUUUUACGGCUUUAUUGAAAACAUUGAUAUAUUGAAUAUUCAUAAAUUUUAAUUUAACUUUCUUUUAUAAUCCUUAAUGUGAGGCUAAGGUAUAAGGAGAAAGGAGAUUGGUAAGGAAGUGUGAUACAUAUUGAAUCAGGUGUCAAGGUACCAUUUGUGCCUGGAUCUGACCAAUAGACCAAGGUAAAAAUCUCAAAGAAUGAGACUUGUAAUGAGAAUGCCACAAACUUGAAUACCUUAUGCACAAAACACAAACAUUGUUAUGCAUAAUGUACAUGAACCCUGAAACAAAGAUAAUGAUUUGGACCACCCAACUGAAGUGGCAUGUUAUGUUUUUGGCAUGAACAAAAGAAACAAGAGAGAAAAAAAUCAAAAUAAUUAAAAUAAAUUGUUAGAGAAAAGUUACUUUAAAAAUAGCUAUAACGCUUUGCAAUUUCAGUAACAGUUCUGCCUCUGAUGCAAUGUAAAACAUGUAUUAGACAUUCAGGCUCCACAAUAAAUUUUAAUGAGCACUACAAAUUUAGAAUAUAUAAAAAUAUCAGUAACCUAUGAAUUCAUCAACAUAACUCACUUUUCAGUUAAGUUAGGCUGAGUUGAAAUUCUACUAAGUUUUCCCAUAUUCUUGAUAAAGGCUAAAUUUGAAAUAAUUUAUUUAGAUGACUAAUUGGCAAUUUGAUAGUAGUUACAUUUUAUGUAACACUUGAUAUAAUAACCCAAAUUAAUUAGCUCAAUAUUAUCUUCUGUGGUUUAUUGAUCCAAAAGUACAUAUUUGUUAUGUAAACUUAUACUAUGUAAACUUGAAUUAGUUUUUUGCUUCCUUGAAUUAAUAAAGCCCAUUAAUGCAAAUCUAAGCCUUCAUAGACUUUUCCAAUCCUUAGUUAAAUAUUAAAAACUGAGUAUUGUAGUUAUUUGCUAGGUAUAAAAGGUGACUCAGAGUAGAGAGUAAGAUGUCAGCAAAUAGACAAUAAGAUGUCAGCAAAAGUGCCUCAAAUUUUAACUGCGUCAAGUUAAGGGCAUUGUAAAUACUGUAGUUUUAUGUAGCUUGCAACUUCUACUGAAAUGAGUUUAAUCAUGUCUUUCACAUAGCUGAAGUUUGUGUCAAGAUUUAAGCUGAUUUUCUCAUUCUUAUCAAAGUCUCACCUGGGGGUAGGGAGGGGUAGGCCUACCUCCCACCUCUAUACUAUCAUUUUAGGAACAGACAGGCAUAAAUCUGUUCAUAUGGUAGAACACAUGAUGUUAGAGUAUAUUUUGUUGAAUGCUAUGGAAUAUUAAUAUAAUUAAUUCUAAAAUAUCACCUAAAAUAUGUCAACUGAAGAUCUGACUGUACUAAAUAUGAAAAAUAAAGCAGCACAUACUUUC